AAUAAAUACCCGGUAGUCCACGCCGUAAACGAUGAGUGCUAAGUGUUAGGGGGUUUCCGCCCCUUAGUGCUGCAGCUAACGCAUUAAGCACUCCGCCUGGGGAGUACGGUCGCAAGACUGAAACUCAAAGGAAUUGACGGGGGCCCGCACAAGCGGUGGAGCAUGUGGUUUAAUUCGAAGCAACGCGAAGAACCUUACCAGGUCUUGACAUCCCAUUGACCACUAUGGAGACAUAGUUUCCCCUUCGGGGACAACGGUGACAGGUGGUGCAUGGUUGUCGUCAGCUCGUGUCGUGAGAUGUUGGGUUAAGUCCCGCAACGAGCGCAACCCUUGUUCUUAGUUGCCAUCAUUUAGUUGGGCACUCUAAGGAGACUGCCGGUGACAAACCGGAGGAAGGUGGGGAUGACGUCAAAUCAUCAUGCCCCUUAUGACCUGGGCUACACACGUGCUACAAUGGACGGUACAAACGGUUGCCAACCCGCGAGGGGGAGCUAAUCCGAUAAAACCGUUCUCAGUUCGGAUUGUAGGCUGCAACUCGCCUACAUGAAGCCGGAA
RNAcentral lists this ribosomal RNA (555 nucleotides) under uncultured bacterium. Its description in RNAcentral is "bacterial SSU rRNA". It matches the Rfam family "Bacterial small subunit ribosomal RNA", at positions 777 to 1331 of the family's 1533-position model. The record is from RNAcentral.